This 497-nucleotide ribosomal RNA is filed under the name uncultured bacterium. RNAcentral's name for it is "partial 16S ribosomal RNA". It matches the Rfam family "Bacterial small subunit ribosomal RNA", at positions 28 to 507 of the family's 1533-position model. The record is from RNAcentral.
GAUGAACGCUGGCGGCGUGCCUAAUACAUGCAAGUCGAGCGAACGGACGAGAAGCUUGCUUCUCUGAUGUUAGCGGCGGACGGGUGAGUAACACGUGGAUAACCUACCUAUAAGACUGGGAUAACUUCGGGAAACCGGAGCUAAUACCGGAUAAUAUUUUGAACCGCAUGGUUCAAAAGUGAAAGACGGUCUUGCUGUCACUUAUAGAUGGAUCCGCGCUGCAUUAGCUAGUUGGUAAGGUAACGGCUUACCAAGGCAACGAUGCAUAGCCGACCUGAGAGGGUGAUCGGCCACACGAGAACUGAGCCACGGUCAAGACUCCUGCGGGAGGCCGCAGUAGGGAAUCUUCCGCAAUGGGCGGAAGCCUGACGGAGCAACGCCACGUGAGUGAUGAAGGUCUUCGGAGCGUAAAACUCUGUUAUUAGGGAAGAACAUAUGUGUAAGUAACUGUGCACAUCUUGACGGUACCUAAUCAGAAAGCCACGGCUAACUACGUG